Molecule: ribosomal RNA, 441 nt
Filed under: uncultured bacterium
Lineage: Bacteria
Description: partial 16S ribosomal RNA
Rfam family: Bacterial small subunit ribosomal RNA
Source: RNAcentral
CCUACGGGUGGCAGCAGUGGGGAAUAUUGGGCAAUGGACGCAAGUCUGACCCAGCAACGCCGCGUGAAGGAAGAAGGCUUUCGGGUUGUAAACUUCUUUUAAGGGGGAAGAGCAGAAGACGGUACCCCUUGAAUAAGCCACGGCUAACUACGUGCCAGCAGCCGCGGUAAUACGUAGGUGGCAAGCGUUAUCCGGAUUUAUUGGGUUUAAAGGGUGCGUAGGCGGAAUGCCAAGUCAGCGGUAAAAUCGCGGGGCUCAACCUCGCUCCGCCGUUGAAACUGGCGUUCUUGAGUGAGCGAGAAGUAUGCGGAAUGCGUGGUGUAGCGGUGAAAUGCAUAGAUAUCACGCAGAACUCCGAUUGCGAAGGCAGCAUACCGGCGCCCAACUGACGCUGAAGCACGAAAGCGUGGGUAUCGAACAGGAUUAGAUACCCCAGUAGUC